UAAAACCAGCUCUUCGAGUGGUAGGGAUGAUUAUUUGGGCUAAAGCGUCCGUAGCCGGACUCGUAAGUCCACGGUUAAAUGUCAGGUCUCAAAUCUGUACACUGCCGUGGAUACUGUGGGUCUAGGAACCGGGAGAGGUGAAAGGUACUCCAGGGGUAGAGGUGAAAUUCGUUCAUCCUUGGGGGACCACCUAUGGCGAAGGCAUUUCACUGGAACGGGUUCGACGGUGAGGGACGAAAGCCAGGGGAGCGAGCCGGAUUAGAUACCCGGGUAGUCCUGGCCGUAAACGAUGCGUGCUAAGUGUCAGGGUACAUGCGGAGUAUCCUGGUGCCGAAGGGAAGCCGUUAAGCACGCCCCCAGGGGAGUACGCUCGCAAGGGUG
This 381-nucleotide ribosomal RNA is filed under the name uncultured archaeon. Its description in RNAcentral is "bacterial SSU rRNA". It matches the Rfam family "Archaeal small subunit ribosomal RNA", at positions 471 to 851 of the family's 1478-position model. The record is from RNAcentral.